UACGUAGGGUGCGAGCGUUAAUCGGAAUUACUGGGCGUAAAGCGUGCGCAGGCGGUUUUGUAAGCCAGAUGUGAAAUCCCCGGGCUCAACCUGGGAAUGGCAUUUGGGACUGCAAGGCUUGAGUGCGGCAGAGGAGACUGGAAUUCCUGGUGUAGCAGUGAAAUGCGCAGAUAUCAGGAGGAACACCGGUGGCGAAGGCGGGUCUCUGGGCCGAAACUGACGCUGAGGAGCGAAAGCGUGGGGAGCAAACAGG
Molecule: ribosomal RNA, 253 nt
Filed under: uncultured bacterium
Lineage: Bacteria
Description: partial 16S ribosomal RNA
Rfam family: Bacterial small subunit ribosomal RNA
Source: RNAcentral